AGAAGCUACCAUCUGUAGGAUGACUGAACGCCUCUAAGUCAGAAUCCAUGCUAGAAAGCGACAACGCUCGCCCGACCACAAGCGUAGCAAUAGGCCGCAAGGCCCAGCACCGCAGCAUGAUGGCACACCCCCGCGGAGAACAGCCGACGGGGGGCGUUCAUCGGAACUCAACUCGAAACUUGGGCGGCACAGAUCCUUUGCAGACGACUUAACACGCAACGGGGUAUUGUAAGCAGUAGAGUAGCCUUGUU
RNAcentral lists this ribosomal RNA (251 nucleotides) under Tiarina fusus. Its description in RNAcentral is "Tiarina fusa partial Eukaryotic large subunit ribosomal RNA". It matches the Rfam family "Eukaryotic large subunit ribosomal RNA", at positions 3094 to 3359 of the family's 3401-position model. Lineage: Eukaryota; Ciliophora; Prostomatea; Prorodontida; Colepidae. The record is from RNAcentral.